AGAGUUUGAUCCUGGCUCAGAUUGAACGCUGGCGGCAGGCCUAACACAUGCAAGUCGAGCGGUAGAGAGGAGCUUGCUUCUCUUGAGAGCGGCGGACGGGUGAGUAAUGCCUAGGAAUCUGCCUAGUGGUGGGGGAUAACGUUCGGAAACGGACGCUAAUACCGCAUACGUCCUACGGGAGAAAGCGGGGGACCUUCGGGCCUCGCGCCAUUAGAUGAGCCUAGGUCGGAUUAGCUAGUUGGUGAGGUAACGGCUCACCAAGGCGACGAUCCGUAACUGGUCUGAGAGGAUGAUCAGUCACACUGGAACUGAGACACGGUCCAGACUCCUACGGGAGGCAGCAGUGGGGAAUAUUGGACAAUGGGCGCAAGCCUGAUCCAGCCAUGCCGCGUGUGUGAAGAAGGUCUUCGGAUUGUAAAGCACUUUAAGUUGGGAGGAAGGGCAGUAAGCGAAUACCUUGCUGUUUUGACGUUACCGACAGAAUAAGCACCGGCUAACUCUGUGCCAGCAGCCGCGGUAAUACAGAGGGUGCAAGCGUUAAUCGGAAUUACUGGGCGUAAAGCGCGCGUAGGUGGUUGGUUAAGUUGGAUGUGAAAGCCCCGGGCUCAACCUGGGAACUGCAU
RNAcentral lists this ribosomal RNA (623 nucleotides) under uncultured Pseudomonas sp. RNAcentral's name for it is "bacterial SSU rRNA". It matches the Rfam family "Bacterial small subunit ribosomal RNA", at positions 8 to 626 of the family's 1533-position model. The record is from RNAcentral. Lineage: Bacteria; Pseudomonadati; Pseudomonadota; Gammaproteobacteria; Pseudomonadales; Pseudomonadaceae.